This 500-nucleotide ribosomal RNA is filed under the name uncultured sulfate-reducing bacterium. RNAcentral's name for it is "bacterial SSU rRNA". It matches the Rfam family "Bacterial small subunit ribosomal RNA", at positions 339 to 828 of the family's 1533-position model. The record is from RNAcentral.
CUACGGGAGGCAGCAGUGGGGAAUAUUGCGCAAUGGGCGAAAGCCUGACGCAGCAACGCCGUGUGAGGGAUGAAGGCUUUCGGGUCGUAAACCUCUGUCGGAAGGGAAGAACGGGCAUUGGUCUAAUAGGCCUUUGUUUUGACGGUACCUUUAGAGGAAGCACCGGCUAACUCCGUGCCAGCAGCCGCGGUAAUACGGAGGGUGCAAGCGUUAUUCGGAAUUACUGGGCGUAAAGCGCACGUAGGCGGCCUUGUAAGUCAGGGGUGAAAUCCCACGGCUCAACCGUGGAACUGCCUUUGAAACUGCAGGGCUUGAAUCCUGGAGAGGGUGGCGGAAUUCCUGGUGUAGGAGUGAAAUCCGUAGAUAUCAGGAGGAACACCGGUGGCGAAGGCGGCCACCUGGACAGGUAUUGACGCUGAGGUGCGAAAGUGUGGGGAGCAGACAGGAUUAGAUACCCCUGGUAGUCCACACNNNAAGGCGAUGAAUACUAGGUGCCGGGC